CGGAUUCGAUGACUACCUCUAUGCCUAUGGCGUAGCAAAACUGCCCGUUUCAACAUCAGCUCUCAUUGUCGCAAGCCAGCUCGCUUUCACAGCAGCCUUCGCGUUCCUCUUGGUGAAACAAAAGUUCACCUCAUACUCCGUAAAUGCCAUAUUUCUGUUGAGUAUCGGUGCCGGUGUCUUGGCUUUACACACUAGCUCCGACCGCCCUACUAAUGAGUCCAACAAAGAAUAUUACCUCGGGUUUGUCAUGACACUUGCAGCUGCAGCGCUCUAUGGUUUCAUUCUCCCCUUGGUUGAAUUAACCUACAAGAAAACAAAGCAGGCAAUAACCUACUCACUGGUCAUGGAGAUUCAAAUGGUGAUGUGCUUCUUCGCCACCGUCUUUUGCACAGUGGGGAUGUUGGUUAAUAAUGACUUUCAGGUGCAUUUCUCUUUUCUCUCCACUCAAUUACCCUAACAUAUUCAACCAGAUAGAAGAUUGAUAAUUUAUGUUUGCUUCUUCCUCAUUUAAUUUUGUAGGCAAUUUCCAGAGAAGCAAAAGAAUACGAGCUUGGAGAAGCUAAAUAUUAUCUGGUGGUGGUAUGGAAUGGGAUCAUAUGGCAGUGUUUCUUCUUAGUAUCAAUAGGAGUCAUCUUUAGCGCUUCAUCUUUGGUAUGCGGUAUUGUGAUUACUGUCCUACUCCCCGUGACAGAGAUCUUGGCUGUUAUUUUCUUCCGAGAAAAAUUUCAAGCAGAGAAGGGGGUUUCACUGGCUCUCUCUCUGUGGGGCUUUGUUUCCUACUUCUACGGCGAGAUAAAGGAUAGCAAGAAAAAGAAGAAUCCCACUUCCGAGACGGAGCUGCCUCAAACGGUCAAUCCAUGACAAACAAAUAUCUUUCUUAUUCCCCGGAAGGCAAGGGACAGGAUUACAUAUAAGCAUUUACCAGGUAAUUUAAAGAAAUACUUCGUCCGUAUGUUAACAGGCAGUUUAGCUGAUUCACCAAAUCUGUGUAAAGGAAAUGCUUGAAUUUCGUUCCUAAAUACAUGCUUGAAUAUUGAAUUUACUUGAAUUCUACAACCGCUGUGAGCGGAACAUGUUGAAAAUGAGAUCAUUUAAUUGUUCUAUAUAAGAUAAUUUCAAGAAUGAGCAAGUCUUGUUUUUUUAGUUUUCAAUUUUAGUGGUUUAUGAAAUCACAGAAAAAAGAUCAUGGGUGUUUUCAAAUUUAGAGUUUUUAUCUACCAUCAACUCAACAACCUCUGAUCCCAAUAACCACUUGCACUCAUUUGGAGGUAGGUGUCAACUACUCUCGUCAACUGCCACAGUAUCAAAUGAACCACAACAACUAUAUUUUCCAUAUUUUGUAGUGGAUGAUAUUGAUAUGAAGCGAAUAAGACGCGAGCUGCGCUCACAGGCUAGGACUUUAAUUGGUGAAGCCUCCCAACUCAUAUAGUCAACUCGCUCGAAAUUCAGUUGUUAAAGUUUUCUAAUAAAUAAAACAGUUAUUUUAAAAUAUAAAAAUUUAAAUUAUAUCAUAAAAUACUAAGGUAAAGAAAUUAGAAAAUACUAAAAUAUCAAUUCCAUAUAUAUCAAGCUUUCGAUUUUGAUCAUUAAAAGUAUAUAAUAAAAUUUAAGCCUGUGAAUAAUGAUUACUACUCAAAAAGUGUUAUUUGAUAGCCUGUAAUUAAUCCUUUUAAACACUUUUGAGUAGUAGUUUAGGCCUUUUAACUCAAUUGGCAUGUUAAGGAUCCUUUAAAGCAAUUUUGAUCACUUUGUGUAAGUUUUGGUGUUUUUGUUAGUAUUUUGAUCACCAAAACAAGUCAAGACUGAGGAGAGCUAUGAGGAAUCUUGGGUAAAGCUUAGAAGUCAUUUUCCAAGAGUGAAUCCGGAUUGCAAGGAGAAAAAGCAAAGAGAAUCUGCCAUAAAGCAUAUUCUUGAUGACAGUCGUAGCAGCCACUUUUAGAGCACUUUAUGAAGUCCAAAUGAUGCAUGCUAUAUACCAUUUUAAAGCUCAGGAAGUCAACAAUCCAAUGCUUCAAACGGUGUGCAAUUCGGAGUUGAAACGAAGAAGUUGCAGCCAUUACAAGCCAAUCACUCCGAGCUGAAGAAAACAUUUUGCAAAGUGCUGCGAAAUCACCCUUUUGUUGCGAAGUGAUUUCGCAGCAUUUUUGUACAGUAAGGUGUUUCUCCUUCUGACGAUGCACGAACCAUGCCGCGAGAAGGGAGCUGGGAACCUCAAGGUGGAAGCCAACUUCGCAGCCAUGUGAAGAUAGCUCGGUGUUGCGAAAUAAUUUCGCAGCCCUCUUGGGUGUCUGCGAAAUUUCGCAGACACCAUAUUUCUCCUGCGAAAUGGUUCCUGAAGCCUCCCGAAGCUUGCUACCGACAUUGGGAGAUAUUUUCCAUUAGAUUUUUGUUGUCUAAAUCCCAAAAUACUCCUUGUAAACCACCAAUUACAUGAUUCCUUAGUUUUUAAGUUAGUAAAAAGACUAAAUAUCUUUGUAACAAUUAGUUUUAUAUUAUGUUGAUAUAUAUACCUCUCGAGAGCCUGUUCUCAGGGAGGAGUUCCUUUUGUAAACCGUUUGGGUAAGCAAGUAAAGGUCUUUUUCUUUCUACUGCCUUACCUUCUCACUUUGUAUUUUCAGUUUAUUUCUAAGUUAUGAAUUCUCUGAGGAGUUUUCCCCAGAGAAUGAGUAACUAAACCUCUAAUUCCUUGGAGCUAAGGUUGCCGGGGAAGGUUCCAAGUGCAAGAAUGCAAAGCUUUGUGGUUUUAGCUAGUAAUGAAGAGGAAGUGAAAUCCUUUAGUGAUUUCUAUGUUUUUAGUUAACUUAAAACACCUUGGAGUUACCUGGGCCAACACUUGGUAAGGCAAGUGAUUUUCAACCAUGGAAAUGCACUAGUUUACCCCUUGCGAGCCUCUGGGAGGUGACUUCAGGGUAGGAUUUUCUAGAAUAGCCAACACUUGGUAAGCUUUUGGACUCCUAGGAGGCAUCCAUUAGUUAUCUCUUGCGAGCUUUUGACGGGUAAUCCAAGGUUAAAGAUCACCUUGAAUGGUUAAGGCUUAGUGAGAGGCUUAAACCAUUGCAAGUUGCAUCAGUGAGAGAAUUAAAGUGAAAUCUAAUUGAAGGAGUCUCUGUACAUCACCGGUUAGAGAAUUGACUAUGUGUUGAAUCUCUAAUGCGAGGAAAUGAACCAUCUGACCAAAGCCGUGUCUUUUGCAUGAGGAACCACCCCAGUGAACCUAAAUCUCUAAGGAAUGCUUUUCUUCCUAAAUUAUUCCAAACUUCUGUUAAGUUAGUUAGUUUAAGUCUCAACUUUUACCAAUCAAAGUUUGUGUUUUACUUCUUAAGCUAACCAUAAAAUGAAACAAGACCAAUUCACUUGGAAUUGGUAUCAUUGAUUGCUUGUUAGUCAUUCCCAGUGAACGACCCUAGAGCCACUAUACUAUAGUAGCUUUUUCUUUGCUACCCUAGUGUAUGGUGUUAUAGGUAAUAAAUUUUGUUGAUCACUUCCUCAAUCAAGGAGCACCAGCUGAACACCAAUCAGCUGAGACACCAAUUGAGCAUGAAUCAAAUAAGAUUACGAAUAUAUGGAUUCAAUAUAUAAACGAGUGGGAUGGAACAUGACUCAAAUGAAUAAGGCAUAAAAAAGACAAAUAAUAAUGAUGCCAGACUAUAUAUGUGAUAAUGAUGAUAGAUUGUAGAUGGAGAUGGAUUUCAUAUAAAAAUAAGGAUUUUAUAUUUAAAAUUCAUUUUUAAAGAAUAAAAUACAUUAAAAAACAGUUAAACAUAAAUCGAAGACUUUUUUACUUUAAAUUUCUCUCAAAAGGAAAUUUUAUAAAUAAAAUAAAUUUAUACGAGUAUUAAUCGACAAAAUUUCAAAUCAACAAUAAUUCUUGCAUUUGUAUCAAACUUUAAAAGAUGUAAGUGAAAUUAAUCCUAUUUUUGGAUUGUUAUUUAUAUCAAAUCUUCCCCAUCUUAAUUCCAACCCAAACCAAACUUGACAUGGAUUGGGUGGAACAACUUUAACAAAACUUCAAGUUGUCAUCUCUAAUGUUAGUUUGGAAUAGAAAAUAAAAAUGAAACAAUUUCAUUCUCCUCUAUUAAUGUAUCCAGACUAUUUAUUACGAUGAAAAUUAGAAUAAAAAGUUCAUUAGUAUAUAAACCAAAUCUGCCUAUGAAUAAAAAAACAGUAGAUAAAUACUCUAAGGUUACUUUGGAAUAGAGAAUAAGAAUGGAAGAAUUUCAUUCUUCUUUAUUAAUGGAUCCAGAUUGUUGUUUACAAUGAGAAUAAGAGAAUUAGAAUAAAAAUUUCGUUAGUAGGUAAACCAAAUCUGCCAAUGAAAAAAAAAGACCACAGAUAAAUCAAAUCUCACUUUUACAAUAAUUUUGAUUCAUUCUUUUGUACAUGAUAGUGUGAUUCACUUUCAUUCUCUUUCUAUUCCACUUUUCUACUUUUCCACCUACCACUCAUCCUAGUCGUAAUGUGAUUAUUGUGUCUCGUAUCUUUGGUAAAGAGAACCAACCGACUAUAUCUCAACAAAGCGUCCAUCAUUUAUGCCAUGCAGCGUACAUCAUGCGAAAGAGCCAAUGAGCGUUUCACAUAUGGUAUAGCAAAACUGCCCAUUUCAACAUCUGCUCUCAUUAUCGCAAGCCAGCUCGCUUUCACAGCAGCCUUUGCAUUCCUCUUGGUGAAACAAAAGUUUACUUCAUACUUCGUAAAUGCCAUAUUUCUUUUGAGUAUCGGUGCUGGUGUCUUGGCUCUACACAAUAGCUCUGACUACCCCGCCAACGAAUCUAACAAAGAAUAUUAUCUCGGGUUUUUCAUGAUACUAGCAGCUGCAACGCUCUAUGGUUUCAUUUUCCCGUUGGUUGAAUUAACCUACAAGAAAGCAAAGCAGGCAAUAACCUACUCACUGGUCAUGGAGAUUCAAAUGGUGAUGUGCUUCUUCGCCACCGUCUUUUGCACAGUGGGGAUUGUUGAUGCCUCGCGUCCCAGGGAUCCACACAGCUGCCAAGUGGACGCGCGCUUUCAACCAAGAAUGAAUUCUGGCUCAGUCGAUCCUGCAAAAGAUGUCCGGACACAUCCUCCGAUGGUUUUGUUAGUCAUGGCUCAAUGGAUCAGGCUGUUGCCCUUUUUUCUGAGUUAGCUGACUUACCUUCUUCUUUGCAUGAAGGUUCUUUUAUAUAGUGUCAGAAGCUCCGCUCCCCUCUUUAAUGGCGGGAAGACUUUUUGGCUUGUCAUGAUGUCCCUGAGGUGAUGGCAGAAUCAUCAUCACCUUCCAAACGGCUGUUAGAAAUCGUGGGAGGUGACUUGUCAUCACUCCUGUCCUUUCGCUCUACAGGCGGCGAAACGUGGGCUAUGACAGGUUGUCUGGGGUGACUCAGCAUGGCUUACUUUUUAUGGUCAAUGAUCCGGACAAUGUAUUCGGAUAGAAUAGAGCACAGUCCGGGUAUAAUAUUUGAGAGUGUCGUGUGUCUCCUUGAGGGACCUGGAUAGAGCUGGCGUGCCAUGUGGACUCUGAGGGGGUCCCUACAAUGCCCCCCUUUUAACCUGGCGAUUUUGUCCUGGCAGAAUGGGUAGGUUAAAAAAAAUGAUGACUUUGAAAGUUUGGUUGUUUUUUGCGUUUAUUGUGCCAUGUGGCGGUGCGGAGGCGAAAAGAAGGAAGAGCAUUUAUGGCGAGCCGCCAUCCUUGGGAAUUCCUAUGCGGCAUGUCGUUUCAAUAGCAGCGUGGCUGGGAGUUUGGAAUACCGAGGGGUUGUCUCCCUUUAAAUAGUAGACCCAGCCCCCACAACUGCAUUUCUUCCUUCUGCAUUUCUGUUGCUAGUGUUUUCGUUUAGGUUCUUUGUGUAUUCUUGCCUGUGAGUGAAGUUCUAGGGCUUUUGCUAGCGACAUUCGCGUCGUGAGGGUGACUGCAUCGCGGCCUUCGUCCUCAUUUGCCAGUUUGCACCAGGUACGUUCUCUAUUUCUACCUUCUCUCCAUUGGGUUUCUUUUUUAUUUUAUCUUGCUUGUUAGGUAGGUUGCUUGCGAUUGAGGGUCGGUGCUGGUGUUUAGGGAUUUUUCCGGGGGGGGGGGGGGGGGGNNNNNNNNNNNNNNNNNNNNNNNNNNNNNNNNNNNNNNNNNNNNNNNNNNNNNNNNNNNNNNNNNNNNNNNNNNNNNNNNNNNNNNNNNNNNNNNNNNNNUUUGGGGUUUUUCCAAGCCACUUUCGGUUGGGGGGGGGGAGUGCUUGGGGCCUUUCUCCUUUUUUUCCCGUUUUCCCCCGGGACCUUUUUUUUUUUCUCCUUUUUCCCCAGGGGUUUUUUUUUUUUUUUUUUUUUCUUUUUUGGGUGGUUGUUUGGGGUUGGGGGGGGGGGGUGGGUUUUUGGGAUUUUUCCGGGGGGGGGGGGGGGGGGGGGUUUGCUUUCGUUUUGGGCCUGUUGGGGUUCCUGUUGCCCCCUAUAGCCUUUGCGGGUGACUGGUCCUACUUUGGGGUAGAGUCAAGGGUUAGGUUGGGGAUGUUGGCUAUUUUAGGCUUUCUGGGCGUUUUUUGCUAUUAGGGUUAUGGGGCCGGGUCCUUCUAUUUUACUGUUGGCAUUUCGCCAUGCAGGUUCCGUUUCGGCCCCAUACUUUAAAAUGCCUGCGAAAAAGGACGUAGCUUCGUCCAGUGCGGUUGGGCCCAGCGGAAAGAAUGCGUCCGGGGUGGUCUAUGCGGAGAAGCCUGUUGACAAGCUGAACGUGAGGCAGUUUUGUGAACGCUUCUGCAUUCCGAACGGCGUAUCCGUUCAGCUUGUGGACGGAGAGGUCGUAUCCACCGAGAAAUCUGUGGACAACGCUAUCUAUUUCUCUAAGGAGCAAUUCAACGCGGGGCUUCGGUUCUUUCUCCCGUCUCUCUUCAAAGAGUUUCUUCACUUCACCAAGAUCCCUCCGGCCUACAUCCAUCCCAACAUAGUCCGGGUGUUGAUGGGGUGCAGCAUUUUGAACAUGUUGUUCAACUUGGAUCUUUUGCUGCUGGGGGUCCAUUUCAUCUACUCCAUCAAGAAGGGGAAAACUGACCUCUUCAACUUGUUUACCCAUAUCCCGUCCCUCCAAUUGGUGACUAAUCUCCCAGAUUCGAUGAAGGGGAGAGCCAAAGGACAUGUACUAGUCAAGGGUGUUUAGGCUGGACUGUCGGAACAUCCGGAGAGAUUGUUUUCCCUAAAUCGUUCACUGGCGCUCCCGGGGUAGGGUAGAUUUUCGAGUUUGUCCGGCGUGCAUUUCUUGUUCUUUUACUUUCGUGUUAUCAGAUGGCUAACUUUUUUGGUUGUGGGCAACGUAGGUAAGUCCAAGAGGGACCGCCUAGUCGAGUGGGUGGAGAAAGCCUCUUUUGAUCGCUUGAACAAGCUGUUCGAGAUUACUGCUACUAAGAGGCAUUAUCAGACGUUGCUCACUACUCGGAACCUGUUGGCAGUUGUCCGGGAGCCUCACCCGUACGUCACCAACAUUCUCCCUAGGCGAUUGCCAAAACGUGUAGUGUCUUGGGAGCAUUUUGUGUUGAAAGAUUUGCCCUUCUACGAGAGGGCUCGCAAGGCUAACACAAAGGCGCGCCAGGAGCGCCUUAACCAGCAAGAGGAGAAGAGGCAGAAGGGGACAUUGAGGAAAGCACCUGGUGAGAAGGGGCGCGACUCUUCCCCAGCCGCCUUCCCCCGGCCACAAAAGAAAAGAAGAAGACGAAGAAGACUCGUGCGCAGGUGCUCUAGAUAGUGGCCCCAACUCUUGAGGCUUCGUCUUCGUCUUGCAGGUCCGAGCCCAAUCAGCCGGACCACACUAUUCCGGAGUCUAAGGAGGUUGAGGAACCUGAGGCCAUCACCAGUUCGCCACAGCUUGAAACCUUCCAUCCGGGGCCUAGCUUUCCCCAGCCGCAGUCGGAGUUUGUUGGCUUGAGGGUCGUGGAUGAGCCAGAGGAAAUGAGAGAUGCAAACGACCUUAGGGCGGGGCUUUUGCAAAGACAUCGACCUUGGCCCCCCCAGUUAAGAAAGUUUGUCCGGAGCAGGGUGGAGAGGACCCGACGCCAGAAUUUUGGCUUCAGCUGUGACUCGUCCAGACGAGGUGGGUAUUAGCGCAACUUCCACGGCUCAGCCGGAUGCCGCAGGGUCUAGCGCGGCGGCAACGGUUCAGGCCAACGCUUCGGGGCCUAGCUCAACGACUGCUGCUCAAUCGAGUACAACUGCCUUCGGCAAUGCCCCGACUGCUGUGGAGACCCAUGCGUCAGAGGGGGUUCCGGAUGCGUCGAACGACGAGAAGGCUUCGGACGAAAAGAGCAGUCCUGCUGUUGCAGUUCCUCCAAGCUAGGAGGAAAUGAUGGAGAUGCUGAAAGGAGUGCCAUGCUUCACGGAUGUAGAGACGCCUUCCACGAGGAUGUCAGACUUCUUCCCUUUGACCAAACGUGUCUCUGUGAACAUGGGUGGGGACCCUCCUGCUUUUGUCAAGGCGCGGCUCCCUUUUGGCGCUCCUGAGUCCAUCGUAUCUUGCAUUCAACACCUAUAGGAAUGGACGAUUCCAGAGACUGUAGAAGUGGUAAAUACUUCUUUGCUGUUUUUCUCUUCUUUCUUAGCAGUUGCUACUUUUCCAUGUAACAUUGUCUGUUGUUUUGUUGUUGCUUUGCCCAUGUUGUAGCCGGCAUCCACUACAUGAUGUGCACACGCGAGCAGCUUUUCAAGCGGCUGGAAUUGGUGGAGGCCAUGCAUGCCUUUAUCUCCCAACAUCCGGGUGGCAUCGAGGAGCUGCGCGCCAAGUUGGAGAAGGUGGAGGCCGAAUUGGCCGCUGCUCGGAAAGCUGUGGCGGAUGGGACGGAGCAACUAGGUCGGGUUGAAGGGGAUAAGGAGACUAUCCGGGCCGAGGCUGACAUCCUGAAGAAAGAAAAGCAAGCCUUGGAGGGCUAAGUCAAUGCAGCUGGGCAGGAGAACCUCCAGUUGAAGAGAGAGACGGAUGAACUCCUGGAUAGCCUUGCCGCCCAGAAGAAGGAGUCAGAGGAUUUGCGGGAGGGUCUGGCGGCUCAAAAGGAGAAAAUGGAGGCUAGGUUCGCCGCUCAGAAGAAGGAGAUGGAGGAGGAAUACCAGAAGCAGGCAGACGAGAUGUAUUUCUUUGGCUACCGUUGUUGUAUGAAGAAACACGGAAUUAUGCAUGAUAUUCCUUCUUUCCUUUCUGAUGAGGAAGAUACAACACCUGGGGGUCCGUCCAGCUGAAACUUCCUUCUGUACAGACUUUAUAAUUUUUCCUCUUUGUUUUGCUGCACAUGGGGCAGUUAUUUUUGUAAAGACACUUUUUACUUAUUUAUAAAUACAUUACAUUUCUUCUGUUUUUUGCUUACUCCUCAUUUCCUUUCAUUGAUAAUACUGCUUAAGAUUGGAUACAUUUCAUGGACGGAGCAGCGAGGUUCCAUCUAGCUUCUAUAGAUGAUAGACUCCACUUUCACUUGUCUUGGACACAAUGUAAGGGUCUUCCCAAUUUGCUUGGAAUUUUCCUGCUCCCUUUUCAGCAGUGUUCUUGAAAACCUUUAUGAGGACCAACGUUCCACCUUUGAAGCUCUUGGGUCGUGCCUUGCGUUUGUAGUGAGCUGCCGCCCUUUGUAGGUAGUCGGUCAUUCGAAUGGAUGCGUUCUCUCUCACUUCAUCCACCCAGUCCAAAUUUCUUCCUAGUUCCACAUUUGCAUCACCCUGUCGUCCUACCUCAAUCCGGAUAGUGGGUAGGCCUAUUUCUGUAGGGAUGACUACAUCCAUACCGUAUGCGAGGGCGAAGGGAGUGUUUCCUGUUGGUCACCCGGGUGUGCUUCGAUAGGCCCAUAGGACGCCGGGUAACUCCUCUACCCACUUCCAUUUGGCUUGCCCGAGCCUCUUCUUUAAGGUAGUUACCAGGGUUUUGUUUUUGCCUCUGCCUGUCCAUUGCUUUGAGGAUAAUGUGGUGUGGAGUAUAAAUUCCAGAUGUUAAGUUCCGAACAGAAAUUCCAGAAAGUGAUGCUAUCAAACUGCGGGUCGUUAUCAGCUAUAAUGGUUUGAGGGAUUCCAAAGCGACAGAUGAUGUUCUUCCAUACGAACUUGGUGAUGUCUUUGUCCUUGAUGCUAGCGUAUGCUUCAUCUUCUACCCAUUUACUGAAGUAAUCUGUGGUGACGAGUAGAAAUUUCUUCUAGGCAACUGCGGCUGGUAGGGGUCUUACUAUGUCCAUCCCCCAUUGCGCGAAGGGUCAGAGGCUAGAAAUUAGUUUUAAUGUCUCAGAUGGUGCAUGCGGUAUGAGGGCAUGCCUCUGGCAUUUGUCACACUUCUUGACAUAAGCUGCCGCAUCUUUCUCAUCGUGGGCCAAUAAUAUCCUUGCGAGUGGGCCUGAUGAGCUAGAGAUCGACCUCUAGAAUGAUUGUCGCACACACCCUCAUGUAACUCAUCCAAUACAUACAAGGCUUCCGAGUGAUCCAGGCACCUAAGGUAGGGGCCUGUGAAGGAUCGCUUGUAGAGGUGCCCCCCGAUUAGGGUGAAACGGGCGGCUUGUACUCAGAUCUUAUGUGCCUGCCUGGGUUCUUCGGGCAAAGUUCCUAUUCGGAGAUACCUUAUUAUGACUUUCGUCCAUUCUUAGCCGUCUGUUUGGCUCGCCUCAAUAGUAUUGCAAGUGGAGGCUUCUGUGAUGGAGGGGUCAGUUUGCACGUGUAUGGGCAAUAAUAUGGCCUCUUUGAUGGGGAGGGAAACGGCUAUCCCUGCCAGGGUGUCGGCACGUCCAUUAUCAGCUCAUGGAAUUUUUUUCGAUUGUUCAUUCGACAAACCGUUGCAGGGUGUCUCUUACUUUAGUCAGAUAUCGCGCCAUGCGUUCAUCUUUGGCUUCGUAUUCCUCCUGGACGUGUCUUACCACGAGUUGGGAAUCACUGUAGAUUCGAAGCUUGGAGACAGAUAAGGCCAAGGCAAGAUCUAAUCCGAAUAGGAUGGCUUAAUAUUCUAUUUCAUUGUUAGACGCGAGGAAUCCCAGUCGAAUAGCUUGCUCUAGCUGUUCUCCCGUUGGGGAUUGCAGUAGGAGCCCUACUCCGGAUCCUGAUGACCGAGAGGCUUCAUCAACCCGCAAGGUCCACCACUCUUCUUCGCAUGGUUCUUUGCGUUGAGCAGGUUUUUGAGAGUAUUUUAGCAUGAAGUCAGCCAUUACCUGCCCUUUCAUGGACAAUCUCGGUUGGUAUUCAAUUUCGUACUCGCUCAACUCUAUGGCCCAUUGAAGCAUUCUUCCGGUCAGGUCCGGCUUGUGCAGGAUGUUGCGAAGGGGCUGGUCGAUCAGCACGACCACUGGGUGGGCUUGGAAGUAAGGGCGGAGCUUCUAGGCGGCACUUCGAAUGGCCAAAGCUGUUUGCUCCAUCUUUGAGUACCUUGUUUCUACGUCAGUCAAUGCCCUGCUAACAUAAUAAAUAGGUUUUUGCUCCUUAUGCGAGGGGCAGUGGAAUAAAACAGCACUAAUUGCCCACUCUGAUACAGCCAGAUACAUAUACAAUUUUUCUCCAGGGAGGGGGCUGCUUAGAAUGGGUAGUUGUAUGAGGUAGUGCUUGAUUUUCUCGAAAACGCUCUGGCAGCUGUUCGUCUACCCGUUCGCAUCGGCUUUUCGUAUUGCCAAGAAGAAGAGUCGCAAUUCAUCAGUGAAGCGGGCUAUGAAACGCCCUAGUGCGACAAGCUUGCUUGUGAGGCGAUGUAAUUCAUUUUUGCUCCUAGGGGGUGGUGUUUCCAUGACUACCUUAACUUGAUCCCUCUUUGGCUGACCAUGAACCUUAGGAAUUUUCCAGCACUUACGCCGAAAGCGCAUUUGGACGGAUUCAGUUUCAUGUCAUACUUCCUUAAGAUGUGGAAGACUUCUUGUAAGUGAAAGGCAUGUUCACUUCGGGUUUUGCUCUUAACCACGAUAUCAUCGAUGUAUAUCUCCACUGUGCGGCCAACUAGAGGUUUGAAGAUCUUCGUCAUCAAUCUCUAAUAGGUGGCGCCAUCGUUUUUAAGUCCGAAUGGCAUGACUUUAUAACAAUAAAGCUCAUGCAGCGUUAUAAAGGCUGUCUUUUCUUCGUCGACCGGAGCUAUGGGGAUUUGGUGGUACCCGGAGAAGGCAUCCAAGAAGGAGAGCAUUCCCUAUCCGGCGGUGGAGUCUACGAUCUGGUCUAUCCGUGGUAGAGGGAAACUGUCUUUUGGGCAUGCGUUGUUGAGGUUGGUGUAAUCGACGCACACUCGCCAUUUGCCUUCUUUUUUGGGGACCACUACUACAUUUGCUAACCAGUCCGGAUACUCCACUUCUCUAAUAAAUCCGACCUCCAGCAAUUUGUCAAUCUCAUCCUGGAUAAUUUUUUGCCUGUCUGGGUGAAAAUGUCUAACCCUCUGUCGGACAAGUCUUGUUGUUGGCAAGACGUUAAGCCUAUGAGAGGUGAUUGAAGGGUGGUUCCCUUCAUGUCAAAAUGCGGCCAUGCAAAGACGUCAUGGCUUUGUCGGAGGGCGUCGUGGAUGUCUUGUGCUUCUUCGGGUGUCAAGAGGGAACUGAUAUGUGUGAGGUGAGUACUUUCUUCCGAUAUCUUGAUUGUCUGCAAGGGAUUCACUGCCGAGGGAUCUUUGUCCUCCGGAUUCAGUAAUUGUUAUUGGUCAAGUGCGCUGGUGGGUUCAGGGAGGGGCUCGUCGCCCUUGCUGAUCCCACCUUCUAGCACUAUCUGAUAGCACUGGCGGGCAGCCAACUGGCUACCGUAUAGAUUGGUUUGUCCAUCUUUAGUAAGAAAGCUCACCAUCUGAUGGUACGUGGAAGGGAUUGCUUUCAUAUAGUACAACCACGCGCGUCCUAAGAUGACGUUGAAGGGGGACAAAUCUCCUACCACUGAAAAUUGUACGUUAAGGGUGACUUGGACUGGCAGCACAAUGUCUCCAAGGGAGGUGGUUGCUACGCCAUUAAAUCCCAACAAGACCCACCCAGGAUUUUCUAAGUCGGAUAGUUCGAGACCCAUUUGAUUAACUACUGAUGCCUGCAAAAGAUCGAUCGAGCUUCCUGGGUUGAUUAGGAUCUAUCUUACAUCAAAGUCUCCCAUCACCAGAGAUAGGAUGAGGGCGUCACGGUGCGGUUGUAGUAUUCGCGUGGGAUCUACGGGAGGAAAAAUGAUUGUCCCAUCUACUGGCUGGGCACUUCCCUCAGUUGCUCCGGUCUAAAUGGUAUUGACGCGCUCGCGUACCGAUGUCGCCCGCAGCAACUUCUGCCUCUUUCUUUUGGAGUUGUACUCCUCAUCCAGAGGUCCUCCAUGAAUAUAAUUGAUGAUGGCUUUGGGGGAGAUUGGGGUCCUGAGGGACCCGGAAUCGCGAUUUCGGGGGGUAUCUCUACCUCUGGCAUCUGAGCAGAGGUAUUGCUUCAAAUGUCCCACUUUUAUGGGCCUUUCCACCAAAUACUGGAGACUCCUGCACGUCUUCAUAGUGUGACCAUGCUCCUUAUGGUAGGCACACUUCUGGCAAUGAUCUCUUUUGGCUGGGUCCGUUCUGAGGGGUCCGGGCCACCUGAAGCCGGACAGGUCCUGGAUCAUAGGGAGGAGUUUCUCAUAUGAUAUGGAAAGGGGUGUGAGUGGUGGCAGUUCUGGGCGACUGGGCUCUCCCUGCCUUCGUUCGGACGGCCUUGACCGGUCUAGAAGUUUGGAACUUCUUUCCGCACCGGUUCUGUAUGUCUGCCCAGCAACCAAAAUUUGUUGGGUGGCCGCACGCACGUCGUCUUCCAGCAUUGAGUAUUUGCUCGCGCGCCGGAACAGGUCAUCCAUUGUCGUGGGAGGCUUCUUAGCGAGCGACUUGAAGAAUGGAGUGCCUGGGCAUAUGCUUCGUUUGAAGAUCUGAAGGACAACAUCCAUGCUAUAAGCCUCUACUUGUAACACAGCUUGACCGAACCGUUUCACUAAUUCUCUCAAAGACUCAUUCUCCUGCAUUUUUAUGUUUUGCAGAGUGCUGAUGUUCUGUUUAUGCCGAGCGGAACACAAGUAUUGCCCCACAAAAGCUUCCGACAGGUCCCUGAAGUUAUCAACAGAGUUCGGGGGUAGUCGGUGAAACCAUGAGAGAGCCUGACCUUGUAGGCUGGUGGGGAAUACUUUGCAUAGCAACGCGUCGUUUCCUAUAUCGAGAGUCAUGAGUUGUCGAUAAUGCAUGAUAUGGUCGAAGGGAUCGCUGGACCCAUCAUACGUGGAAAAUUUUGGUACGAGAAAUCUCCUUGGGGAGUCGUAAUGAAUAAUAUGUGAGCAAAAAGGCAUGGAAAGCAUGUCAUCCAGCCUCUUGCUGAUGGAGCCAGUGGGUGGCUCAUUUGGAGAGUUUCUUCCAGCUUGUCGUACCGCUUGGUGCGGGAGGAUGUUCUACACAACGAGUGCGAUCAAAGGGUUAGGGUACGCUUCCCAAGUUGUGGCCACUGGUGGCCUUAUCUUCCCAGGCUCCUGUGGGCCUAGCCUUGCGCGCAUCGCGUCCGACAGUUGGGGUCUCUUGUCGCGUUGUCUCUUUGAUGAGAGAUGAGUAGAAUCUAAGCUUUCAUCCUGGGGAGCUUGGUGCAUGGGCGUGGGCCGUUCUUGAGGUUGAUUAUUGCACCUCAGGAAUGACCCCCGCAAUCCCAAGAUAUAUCGAUUCUGGAUCAGGCCUCGAAUUUGCUCCCUGGCCUCUUGAGCGCUGGCCAUGAGAAGGCCCCGUCGAUGAAGCCUGGAUGCGUAACACAGUGUUUUCUUCUCUCAAUCUCGUUGUUUCUUGGAGGAGAGCCUGCAUUUGUCGCUUACUCUCCAACUUUCGUCUUUCCAUGGCUUCACGCCAUUCGAAAUAACCUUCACCUCCUCUAGCCGACGAGUGGCUCCUAGAAGGUGUGGACAUCUUCGCCGUCGACUGAGCAAAGUGUUCCCACAGACGGCGCCAAUGUUGAUGCCUUGCGUCCCAAGGAUCCACGCAGCUGCCAAGUGGACGGCGCUUUCAACCAAGAAUGAAUUCUGGCUCAGUCGAUCCUACAAAAGAUGUCCGGACACACCCUUCGAUGGUUUUGUUAGCCAUGGCUCAAUGGAUCAGGCUGUUGCCCUUUUUUCUGAGUUAGUUGGCCUACCUUCUUCUUUGCGUGAAGGUUCUUUUAUAUAGUGUCAGAAGCUCUGCUCCCCUCUUUAAUGGCGGGAAGACUUUUUGGCUUGUCAUGAUGUCUCUGAGGUGAUGGCAGAAUCAUCAUCACCUCCCAGGAGGCUGUCAAAAAUCGUGGGAGGUGACUUGCCAUCACUCCUGUCCUUUCGCUCUGCAGACGAUGAAACAUGGGCUGUGAUUUUAGUUAUCUCCGUCGGUGAAGCUUGAGGAGGAAAAAACAAAACACAAGGUCAUUUCGAUACUCUACGUACUCUUUAGGCUUUACCUGGACAUUAAGAAGAUAAUCAAAGAUUCCAAAGCAGAAUAUGACGAGAGGGAGGUUUGUGGUUUGGUACGUAUUGUAGCUUCAGAUUUGGUCUGUCCCAUAGAGUAAAAGUGAUGGUCCCCAGUUUAAAGCAACGAGGUAAUUUUAUCAUUGAAUUUGCUAGAUUUAGAAGGAUUCAUCGUUUCAAUAUGAUGCCACUUAUUAAUUGUUUCCCGGUAUUCCAGACAUGCUCUUGCUUACAACUCCAAGACAAACGCAUCUCUUUAGAGGCACUGUCCUUGAGAAAUGGUGAUGUUCCUCCAAGCUGUGAGAAAAUCCAAGGGGUUUUUCCCGAGGAUUCUCAAUGUGUGGCCCCGUUGGGUUGAACUGUCCGGGUUAGAAGGUGGAGUGGACUGGGUUGGCUCAACCAUCUCGGAAUAUGGAUUCUGCGUCAAGGGUUCGGCUGCAUCAUGUUGGAGAUGGACUGAUUGGCCCAUGUUUUUGUAAGGGAGUCGAAUCUCAGAGACUGGGCCUAGAUUGAGAAAUUGCAACCAUGCAAUAAAGCCCGUGUGACGUGCUCUUGGAGAUCAAAACAUGAUCCGUAUAACAAACAACCUACUGCCGACCUACACCACAGAUCGUGGUGCUGGCCACCCGUACGGUCUAGAGACCACAUGUACAAGCUCAUGACGCUAUUCCUUCCUAUCACCAAUUUGGAAAUGGCCCACCUAAGAAACAUGUAGCCAUGAUCAAACGGGAAUCCCAUGAUGAGAAAUUGUAGAGAAGAGUUAAAAAUAAAAAAUAAAAAGAAGAAAAAAGAAAGGUCAAUACCACUCGAUCAGGUUCCAGAAAAGGGCAUGUGGAAUAAGAAAUUAAUGCACUGAACGCGAACCAUGGCAGUCCCUCUAUGACAACACCAGUUAAUAGUCGUGUUGUGUCCCCACCUUCUGGAAAUGCCAUCCCUCCCACCAAAUCUCGGUAAUCAAAAUAAAAUGGGUUAUUAUCUUCAACUGCUUGCGUGCCCAAAUCAAUCACGUUUCCGAUAAGCAGUAUAGUUAGUUCUCUCAUUAACAUUUCUUCAGGAUCAAGGAUAUUAUUGAUUUUCAUUGACUUGCUCCUAUUUUGCAUUGGUUGAUGGAGAUAAACACACACAUAUUAAUCCUGAUCUUAAAAAUUGGUAUUAAAUCUGUUCAAGGAACCUAGUCAAGGAAAGCAUAAUCUUGAUUGAAACCUUGCACGCACAGCAUUGUCCACUUGUGGUUUAGCCUGGAUGCUUCUGAAAGCAUCAUGAAUGGAUUCCGAGACUUGUGGUUUAUGCCUGCAUGUUUCUGAAAGCAUCGUGGAUAGGUUCCAAGACCUCAUCAUUACUAGUUUCCCACCCCAAAAUUCCAAGAAGCCACCAAAAUACUCCUUUGAAUGGCUGCACAGGAUUUACACACUAGAAGAAGCCAAAAAAAUGAGACCCUUGGCUGAAGCAUAAUUGGACCCUUGUAAGUCUUUUACUAGAAGAAGCCAAAAAAAUGGGACCCUUUGGCUGAAGCAUAAUUGGACCUUUGUAAGUCUCUUAAUAGAAGAAGCCAAAACAAUGGGACCCCUUGGCUGAAGCAUAAUUGGGACUCUUCAGGCACAUACGGCAUGUGCAAAUAUCUAGAUAUUUUAAUCCCAAGUAAAAUGAUGCUCCUUUUUUCGUAUUCUUUUGUUUGACGUAUGCAUCAGGAUCGGACCGCAUCUAUGUUAUUUUUUAUUCCAAAUUUCAAAUAAAGACGAGACUUCGCUACAAAAUUGUCAACGCCUUUGGGACCCAUAAACCUUUUCUCAAACAAUGAUUAAAGGCAAAUUUUUGUAUUGAUAUAAUGCAACUAGCCAACCAUAUGGGUGUAAGGAUGAGCAUGCAAUCCCAUCAAAAUGGCUUCUGGACCCACACUAUCUUAGUUCGUGGCAGUCAAAUCGCAAUAUAAUAGACGGGGAGUGUUAGAUUUUCUUAAUGAGGUCCAGAAGUCUUGUCCAUAAUCUUUAGGAAUAAUACUAGACUUUGUCAAAUGGGUCUAAAAAUCUAACCCAUAAUAUUUUGACAUUUCCGUCUAUGUAAUCAUGGUUAGGUCCCUAAUUCUUUAACCUCUAUUCACACACAUGUAUCAUCGUUUAAGAUUGAUUAAAAGUUUAAAAACAUCACAACUUAUUUCAAUAUCAAAUUUGAUUUUCGAAUUCCUGAACUAUCAACUAUAGAAAAUAUGUUUUGAUUCUUCAUUUAUUUUUAUAUUUAAUAUAUGUCAUUAAGGUUUUAAGCAUAUUUAGAUUGAUUUUAACACUUAUAAUUGGUAUUAAAACCAUUUUAUUGUCUCUACCUUAAUUAUGUGCAACCUAAAAAAAUUGAUUAUGUGCCUUAAUUAUUUUCUUUUAAUCCUUAUGGUAAAAAAAAUUUCUUACGAAUUUGGAAGAAAACUGUUUGUAUUAUGCUUUUGAAAGAUGAAGAAGUCAAGUUUUGGGCAUGAAAAAUGAGGGCUAUUAAUAUCCAAUCGAUCCCUACCUCCCCUUACAACUUUUACAGUGCAAUGGCCUAGCUAUACCCCUAUUGAUGGGAGCAAGUUGUAGAGUUAUGAUUGUAUGUUGUCCAUAUUAUAGAGAUUUUGAUAUAGUGGUUUAUAGUUUUGAAUCAUUCUUUACAACUUGUAACAAUUGUAUCAUUAUUCCUUUUAAGAGAAAAGGGGUAUAUAGUGGUUAAUAUGUCCUUGUCAACACCCUUUAAAAUCAAAUCCCACAUUUUCUUCAUAAAGUAAUAUAGAUUAGGUACGAACUUCCAGUUUUUAAAUCUGGAAAGCUAUCAAAAAUUAGACAUUUAUACCAAUAAAAAAUAUGAAAAUUUUCCAGAAAUUUAAAAUUUUGGAUAUUUUGUGAAAAUUUCAUAAAUUUGGUAUUUUUGUGAAAAAAAAAAAUCAUAUUUUUGGUGUUUUUAUGAAAAAUACAUAAAUUUGGCAUUUUAUGAAAACCAUUUUGUGGAAUUAAAAUUUGGAUAUUUAUGUGCUUAAAAUCAUGUCUUUUUUGUAUGUAUAAUUUAUUGUUUUCAUUAUAUAUGUAAUUUGAAUUUUUACUAUAUAAAUUUAAACAGUGUUCAUAUAUGUAAAUAUUGCUUAUGGUUGCAUGCAAUUUAUAUAAACAGUUUUGUGAAUAAAAUUAAAUAUCUAUUGAUCUAUAUAAUUUUAAUUAAUUAGGGAUUAGCCACAACAUCUUUAAUUAUGUAAAAUUAUAUAUUAAGUACUUUAGGAUCACAUAUAUAAAAAUGACAUUGAUUGUAAUUAAUCAUAUUUAAAUAUAAUAAAUUUUAUCCUUUAUCAUAUUUGUAUUAUUAAUAAUGAUAGAAUAUCAAAUUAUAUUCUUAAUUUACCUAUAGGAAUUAGGAAAGGAACAUAAUUGAUAGUUUUAUCAUAAAGUUAGAUGAAUCUAAUUGAAUUAGAACUUUAGUACACAUACAAGUUUUAUGUCACUACUUCAUAUUUUUGAAACAUGAUUUAUAUUGGUAAAACAUGAUAUAUAUUUAUUAACCUCAAAUUACUAUUAUAUAAGCAUGUAUGUUUAAUAUUUAUGCAGUUAUGCAAUCUGUGAAUUUUUCCGAUAUAAGAUGUGAUAUUCUUGAACUAAAGGGUGACAACUACAAAGUAUGAAAGGAAAGAAUUCUCUUUCAUUUGAGGUAGAUGGACAUUGAUUAUGUUAUUAGGAAAGACGAACCAAGCAUUACCACAACUAGCACUGUAGAUGAAAAGGCUCUUUAUAAAUGAUGGGUGUGAUCCAAUUGCCUUAGUGUGAUGUUCAUAAAAAACAAAAUCUCUACUGGUAUUCAAUGUUCAGUUGAUCAACAUGAUAAAGUUAAGGCAUUAUUAAAGGCUACUGAUGAACAAUUUCAAACUUCAGAUGAGACACUUGCCAGUACCUUGAUUAUGAAGUUUUCAUCCUUAAGGCUCACCAGUGUAAGAAGUGUAUGUGAACACAUCAUGCAAAUGAGGGACAUUGUAACUCAACUAAAAACUCUUGAGGUUGAAAUGUUUGAAUCUUUCCUUGUGCACUACAUACUGAACACUUUUCCACAACAACUUCUGACCAUGUGUGUUCAAGAGGUAUGGAGGUUGGUAAUGGAAAUUGGUGAGAAUGCAUUAUUCGCAAAACAAGGAAAUAACCAAAACCAAGCCAAAAAAAAAAAAAAAAAAGGAAAGGUAAAAUACUGCCCCAAUGAGAAAUAAAAAAAGAAUCCAAGUGCUUCAUCUGCAAAAAGAAAGGACACAUGAAGAAAAAUUGCUCCAAAUUUCAUAAAUGACUUGAGAAAAAAGGUAAACCAAUCUCAUUUGUUUGUUAUGAAUCUAAUAUGGUUGAUGUUAAGCAUGACACAUUGUGGAUUGAUUCUAGUUCUACAAUCCAUAUUUCAAAUACCUUGUAGGGUACACAAAACCUAAGGAAGCUAGUGGGAAGUGAGUAGUGCAUCUAUUCAAGAAACAAGAUGCAUUCAUAUGUAAAAGCUCUUGGAACAUGCACUUUAGUUUUAAGUAGUGGUUUUGUUCUAAAUUUGGAAAAGACAUUUUACAUUCCAAGUUUUUCUAAGAAUUUGAUUUCAGUUUCAAGACUUGUUCCUUUUGGUUAGUCCUUUUAACUUUUCAAAAACAUCAUUUAGUUUAUUUUAUAAAUCUAAUCUUGUUGGGAAUGGUACAUUGUCUAAUAGUCUUUUCUUUAUUAAUUUGCAAAAUGAUACUACUCAUAAUGUUAUGCAUCUUCACACUGGUGUUAAACGAUGUGUUAUGAAUGAAGAUUCCUUUAUGUUAUAGCACCGAAGAUCAAAACAUAUCUCAAUAGAAAGAAUUAAGAGAUUAGUAAAUUAUGGAGUAUUUAGUACUUUGGAUUUUACUGAUUUUGAUAUUUGUAUGAACUUCAAUAAGAGAAAAUAGAUCAACAAGUAAAAAAAAAUGUGCUAAAAGGAGCAUAGACAUAUUGAAGAUCAUACAUUCAGACAUUUGUAGUCUAGACAUGGACUCAUAUGGUCUAAAAUACUUCAUCUCUUUCAUAAACGAUUACUCAUGAUACAUGUAUCUCUACUUGCUUCAUAACAAGAAUGAAACAUUAAAUGUUGUCAAGUUUUUAAGGCCAAAUUAGAAAAUCAAUAUGGAAACAAAUUAAGAUAAUGAGAACAAAUAGAGAUGGAGAAUAUUAUGGUAAAUACACUAACGAUGGACAAACACCCGGUCCAUUUGUGAAGUUUCUUCAAGAGCAUGGGAUAGUUGCCCAAUAUACCAUGUAUGGUUCUCCAUACUAGAAUGGCAUAGCAGAAAAAAUAAACUGAAUGUUAUUGGACAUGAUACAGAGUAUGCUUAGUAGCUCCAAGCUUAUUAAAUCCUUGUAGACUGAAGCUUUUAAAAUGACAAUGUAUAUAUUGAACCGAGUCCCAACUAAUGUUGCCCUAAAAACGUCAUUUGAAUUAUGGAAAGAUUGGAAACCGAGUUUGCAACAUAUACGCAUUUGGGGAUGCCCAUUUGAAGUAAGAGUUUACCACCCACAAGAGAAUAAACUAGACCUAAGGACCAUUAGUGGAUUUUUCGUUGGAUAUGCAAAAAGGUCUAAAUGGUACAUAUUCUACUAUCCCACAACACUAGGAUUGUGUAAUCAAGAAAUGCAAAAUUCCUUGAGAAUGACUUGUUCAAUGAGAAUAUCAAACCUAAAGCAUAGUCUCUGAGAAAGAUCAAUCUUCCAUUUCAAGUGAAAGGUUGGUUAUUAUUCACAACACCUCUCAAGUUCAAAUGGGAGUUGAGCAACCAAUCGUUGAAGUUCCACAAGCUAUUGAGAAUAAUCCAAUAGAUUAAGUUGUUCAGGAAAUGCCAAAAAUUGUUGAACAACCAAUUGAACAACAUAAUCCUCAGGAAAAUUUUGAUUCAACAUUAAAGAGAUCUACUAGAGCAAGGAAAUUAGCAAUUCCUAGUGAUUAUGUUAUGUAUCUAAAAUAAUUGGAUUAUAACAUUUGAGCCGAAAAUGAUCUUGAAACAUUUUCACAAGCCAUUAGUUGCGAAAGAUCAAAUUUAUGGUACAAUGCCAUGAAGGAUGAGAUGAAUUCUAUGGCAUCUAACGAAGUCUAGAAUCUUGUUGAGUUGUCUGAUAGUGCAAAAGUCAUAGGAUGUAAAUAGGCUUUUAAGACAAAAAAAGACUCAUUGGACAAUAUUGAAAGAUAUAAAGCAAGACUUGUUGCUAAAAAAUUCACUUAAAAGGAAAUAAUCGACUAUAAGGAGUCCUUCUCUCCUAUAUCUAAGAAAGAUUAUUUUCGUAUUAGUAUGACAUUGGUUACACAUUUUGAUUUAGAGGUACAACAAAUGGAUGUGAAAAUGGCUUUCCUUAAUAAAGAUCUAAAGGAAGAAGUUUACAUAAAACAACCAAAAGAAAUUUCCUCUAGAGAUGGUGAGCAUUUGGUGUGCAAGCUCAAGAAAUCCAUAUAUGGAUUGAAACAAGUCUCCCGUUAGUGGUACUUGAAAUUCCAUGAUGUUCGUUAUCUCUUCGUGUGGGUCUGUAGAGAAUAGUAUAAAUCAAUGUAUAUACCAGAAAGUUAGUAAGAGUAAAAUAUGUUUACUUAUUCUAUAUGUGGAUGACAUUUUACUUGCAACUAAUGAUAAGGGUUUGCUACAUGAGGUAAAACAAUUUCUAUUUAAAAACUGACAUGAAAUAUUUGGGUGAUGCUUCUUAUGUCAUUGGCAUUAAGAUACAUAGAGAUAGAUUUUGAGAAAUUUUGGGUUUGUCUCAAAAAACCUAUAUCAACAAAGUUUUAGAGAGAUUUUGGAUAAAAUAUUGUUCACCAAGUAUAGCUCCUAUUGUGAAUGGUGACAGGUUCAAUUUGCACUAGUGCCCAAAAAAUGAUAUUGAAAUGAAACAAAUGAAGAACAUUUCAUAUGUUUCUGUUGUUGGAAACUUAAUGUAUGCUCAAGUCUACAUAAGACUUGACAUUACAUUUUUUGUUAGGAUGUUAAGAAAAUAUCAAAGUAAUUCAGGUACAAACCACUGAAGAGUUGCAAAAAAUGUGUUAAGGUGUUUUCAAGGGACGAAGGACUACGUACUUAUGUAUAAACGGACUAAUAAUCUGGAGGUGAUUAGCUACUCAAAUUCAAACUUUGUUGGUUGUGUUGAUUCACAAAAAUCAACUUCUAGAUUCAUUUUUAUGUUCGUUGGUGGAAUUGUAUCCUGGAGGAGUGCAAAGCAAACUUUGUCUACUACUUCCACUAUAGAGGCUGAGUUUAUAUCUUGUUUUGAGGUUACCUCGCAUGGUGUAUGGAGGAAAAGUUUCAUUUUUUAACUUAGAAUUAUAGAUUCAAUUUCUAAGCUAUUUAGGAUAUAUUGCAACAAUUUAUGUGUAGUUUUUAUGGCUAAAAACAAUAAAAGUGGUAGUCGAAGCAAACACAUCAACAUCAAGUAUUUAGUCAUAAGGGAACAUGUUAAGAAGAAAAUAAUGGUUAUUGAAUACAUCAGCACUGAGUUGAUGAUAGUUGAUCCUUUGACAAAAGGCAUGCCACCAUUGAAAUUCAAGAAUCAUGUGAAUAGAAUGGGACUUCAUUCCUUUAUAUGAUUUUCGUUGUAAUAAUGAAUGUUAUUUGUGAUGAAACUUUAUUAAUGUGAUAAUAUUUUCUCUUAUUUGUUUCUAAUUUGUAUACACAUUCAUUCAUUUGAGAAAUAUUACUAAUGUUUGGACCUGAAAUAAACCUUAGGCUUAUUCAUUAAGUAAUGAAGGCAAGUGUUUAAGAGACAUGAUGCAUUGUGAUACAUGGAAGAUAAUACUUGUUUCAGAGAAUCUAUUGUCAUGAUUUGUGUAUUUUGUUUCUUACUAUGGUGAAUGAUGGAAUAUAUAGACCAAGUGGGAUAAUAUUAGAUUUUCCUAAACAGAUCUAGAAAUCUGGCCUAUAAUCUUCCAUUAAUUUUGGGAAUAAUGCUAGACUUAAAUAGGUCUAGAAAUGCUGUCUCUAUUAUUCUAGAAUUUCUAUUGAUUUAGUUUUACAUUUUUAUUGUCAUUAACAACCAUAAAUAAAUUAUGGUAUUGACUCUGUGAUGGGCAGGGUAAAUAUAAAUAGAGCCUUCGUGGUUAGGUCUCUAAGCUUUUGACUUCGAUUUUUAUUCAAAUACAUAUACACUAUUGUUUAAAAUUGAUUAAGAGUUUAGAAGCACCUCAACCCAUUUGAAGAUCAAAUUUGAUUUCUAAAUUCUCAAAUUGAGGUAUGUUCCUCUUCUCCUUUAUUUCCGCAUUUGAUAUAGGCUACACUGGAAGGACCCAGUGUUGUCUCUAUAAUUGACUCUUAUUUCGUCGUCAUGUUUCCGCCUCAAAAAACCCCGAUUCCUUGUUUACACACUGCUACCAAAGGGGAUAGAUUCCUUGUUUACACACUGCUACCACAGGGGAGAGAGGAGGAGAGCUACCAACCAAACAAUGGAGGUUGAAGCUCAGCUGAGCAGCAACACGAGGAAGGCUCUGCUGGUUCUGAGUUGUGUGAUUCUCUCAAUUGGACACUGCGGUGGUCCCUUGGUGAUGCGCCUAUACUUCGUCCGUGGCGGCGAGAGGAUAUGGUUUUCCAGUUGGUUGGAAACGGCUGGGUGGCCCUUGAUCCUAGUCCCUCUCAUCAUCACUUACAUGCACCGCCGAACUAAGCAAGGCUCCCAUGCCAAGCUCUUCUUCAUGAAACCUCCUCUGUUCGUAGCCUCCGCUGUUAUCGGUGUCCUCACCGCCCUCGAUGACUACCUCUACGCUUAUGGCGUAGCAAAACUGCCCGUUUCAACAAUUGCUCUCAUCAUCGCAAGCCAGCUCGCUUUCACAGCAGCCUUCGCAUUCCUCUUAGUGAAACAAAAGUUCACCUCAUACUCCGUAAAUGCCAUAUUUCUCUUGAGUAUUGGUGCUGGUGUCUUGGCUCUACACACUAGCUCCGACCGCCCUGCUAAUGAGUCCAACAAAGAAUAUUACCUCGGGUUUUUCAUGACACUUGCAGCUGCAGCGCUCUAUGGUUUCAUUCUCCCCCUGGUUGAAUUAACAUACAAGAAAGCAAAGCAGGCAAUAACCUACUCACUGGUCAUGGAGAUUCAAAUGGUGAUGUGCUUCUUCGCCACCUUCUUUUGCACAGUGGGGAUGCUGGUUAAUAAUGACUUUCAGGUGUAUUCCUCUUUUCUAUCCACCCAGUUACCUUUAACACAUUCAACCAGAUAGAACCACCAAAAACAAAGAUUGAUAAUUUAUGUUUGCUUCUUCCUCAUUUAAUUUUGUAGGCAAUUCCCAGAGAGGCAAAAGAAUACGAGCUUGGAGAAGCUAAAUAUUAUCUGGUGGUGGUAUGGAAUGGGAUCAUGUGGCAGUGCUUCUACUUAGGAGCAAUAGGAGUCAUCUUUUGCGCUUCAUCUUUGGUAGCCGGUAUUGUGCUUGCUGUCCUACUCCCCGUGACUGAGAUCUUGGCUGUUAUUUUCUUCCACGACAAAUUUCAAGCAGAGAAGGGGGUUUCACUUGCUCUCUCUCUUUGGGGUUUUGUUUCAUACUUCUACGGCGAGAUAAAGGAUAGCAAGAAAAAGAAGAAUCCCACUCCGGAGACGGAGCUGCCUCAAACAGUCAAUCCAUGAUAAACAAAUGUCUUUCUUUUCCCCACAGAAGAGGGGGGACAGGAUUCGCAUAUAAGCAUUUACUAGGGAAUUUAAAGAAACACUUCAUCUGUAUGUUACAGGCAGUUCAUAACCAAGACUAAAGUGGGUUUCUUUCCAGUUUUGAGAUGAAGGAAUUCCAAUAAAAUAUGGACUGUAAGGUCAAGGCGUGCUAAAUGUGAAGUCGAUACAGAGUGGGAAAAUAUGACAUAUUUUGAGACUUAAUAGUCAUAUCCAAUUUCUAUUAUCUAUAAUAUUAUAUAGUAUUAUAAAAUAAUCUCUCUCAUCCUUGGAUAUGGUUAAACUAUGUUAAAAUUUGAGUAUUCUGUUUAUGGUUGGUUUUAUCUCUGUAUGUUCUUAUUACAGCUUCCACUUAACACAUCAACUUAGUAUUAAAACCUUGGUUGAAUAUUUUUUAGAAGAACCAAAGAUAAUAGAAGAUUGUGGUCCAUGAAAAAAACCCUAACACACACUAUCAAUGUACAAUAGUGUAUACCAUAAAUAAAUAAAAAAGAAGAAAUAUUCACUUAAACGAAAUUUUUAACAGUAGAAAUGGUUGAAAAAUGCUUCCAAUUCCUAAAGAAUAUUUUAAAUAUUGAUUGGGAACUUGCAACAUUUCCCAAUAUUAGAAUCAAUAAGGAAACGGUCUUACUGAGAAAGAAUUGAAGUCAUCGUCAUCCAGGCAAGAUGAUGGGCCAUUAAGGUUAGGUUGGGAUCAAGAGAAGCUGGAUAUGGAUUGUUUUGUUAAUCCAGUAUAACUUAAAAGCUUAAUUAAGUUAUGUAAUAGUGGACCAACAGUGCACUUUGCACUGAUUUGGGUUACAUGUUAGGGUCGUAGCCCAAGUAGGUUGAUAUAUGAUGGUGGACCAACAACUGCAUGCGAAUGAAUGGCUAUGUGAAUUUCCUAAGACUCGGUUCAUUUCAACUUCUACUGAUUGCAUCGAAACUUUCGGGAAGAAUUGGCGUAUGGAUCUUCCCUAAAUGGGUGUUGACGCCGCCAAAAUAGGCACCUCCAAAUACAUGGCCUUAAGCCACCUACAGCAUAGCCGCCCAAGACGCAAGCAUCUGUAGCUAUCCAAAACGAGCUCGGCUAAAAAUAAGUGCCUGCAUAUGAGAUAUGACUCACAUCCAGGACUGGCAGGUUGACCGAACUGACCCUCAAAAGAAGGCCUCACCAACUCUUAAACAUUAUCGGAACAGGCUGGCAGGCUUUAACACAUGCCCUAACCAUAUAAACGUAAAAAAAAAAAAAAAGAAAAAAAAAAAGAAGAAGAUCAUAAUAAGACAAAAAGGGGAGAAAGAAAUUCUCUCGUCUACAGGUGUCGAAGCUUCAUUCAACACAGAGUUGUAAGAUUACCAAUGUUGGGUGCAGACCUAUCCUUUCUAGUUAUCUCCGCCGGUGAAGCUUGAGGAGGAAAAACAAACCACAAGGUCAUUUCGAUACUCUACUCUUUAGGCUUUACCUGGACACUAAGAAGAUAAUCAAAGAUUACAAAGCAGAAUAUGAGGAGGGAGGUUUGUGGUUUGGUACGUAUUGUAGCUUCAGAUUUGGUCUGUCCCAUAGAGUAAAAGUGAUGGUCCCCAGUUCAAAGCAACGAGGUAAGAGUUUUAUCACUGAAUUUGCUGGAUUUAGAAGGAUUCAUCGUUUCAAUAUGACGCCACUUAUUUAUUGUUUCGGGGUAUUCCAGGCAUGCUCUUGCUUACAAUUCCAAGACAAACGCAUCUCUUUAGAGGCACUGUCCUUGAGAAAUGGUAAAGUUCCUCCAAGCUGUGAGAAAAUCCAAGGGGUUUUUCCCGAGGAUUCUCCAUGUAUGGCCCCGUUGGGUUGAACCGUACGGGUUAGAAGGUGGAGUGGACUGAGUUGGCUCAACCAUCUUGGAAUAUGGAUUCAGCGUCAAGGAUUCGGCUGCACCAUGUUGGAGAUGGACUGACUGGCCCAUGUGUUCUGUAAGGGAGUCCAAUGGGCACCCAUGCAAUAAAAGCCCGUGUGACGUGCUCUUGGAGAUCAAAACAUGAUCCGUACAAUACAACUUACUGCCGACCUACGCCACAGGUCGUGGCGCUGGCACCCGUAGGGUCUAGAGACCACAUAUUCAAACUGAUAAUUACAGUAUUCAUUCCUGUCACCAAUUUCGAAAUGGCCCACCCAAGAAACAUGUGGAGCUUUCACCCAAAAUAUUGCGUUUUAAAAAAAAAUUUCAAAAAAUAAAGUUGUUUUAAAAAUAAUGUACGAUGUAAUAAAUAUAUACCACAUAAGCUGUCAUGGCAUAAAACUGUAGUUGAUGACUACGGUUUUAUUUUUUUAAAAUGGUUAGAAACCGUAGUUACCAACCACGGUUUUAACUUUAAGUUUAAAGCCGUAGUUGGUGACUACGGCUUUGACAUUUUUUUAAAAUGGUCAAAGUCAUAGUUACCAACUACGAUUUUAACUUUAUAUAUAUUUAUAUAUAACUUUAAUUUUUUUAAUAAAAAUAUUAUAUUAUUUUGAUUUUAAAUAUACUUAUUUCAUUAUUUUAAAAAUAAUAAUAUAUGAAAUUAAAUAAAUGAUAUUUUUAAUUUGAUAUAAAUAUAUUUUUAAAUUUUAUUAAAAUAAUAUAUUCUAUAUUUAAUAUAAAUAUAUUUAUUUAAUUAUAUUUAAAUAUAAAUAAAAUAUAAUAAAUUAUGAAAGCCUAUUAAAAAACAAAUAAUAUAAAUUAUUAUAUUAAUUAAUAAUUUUUUAUAUACUAUAUGUAAGUGGUAUAUAAUGUCACAUGUAUAUAAGUUCAAUUAAGUUUAAAAUUUAUCAUAUUUUAAUUUAAGUUCAUAAUAUUAUAUCGAUAUGAUAAUAAUUUAUUUAUAUAUUUAAAUAAAUAUGCUAAAUUUUAAACUUAAAUUAAAAUUAUAUAUAUAUAUAUAUAUGUGUGUGUGAUAUUAUAUACUAUUUACAUAUAAUAUAUAAAAAAAUUAUUAAUUAAUAUAAUAAUUCAUAUUAUUUUUUUCUCCAAAUAGGCAUUUAUAAUUUAUUUAUUUUAAAUAAACAUAAUUUAUUAUAUUUCAUUUAUAUUUAAUUUUAAUUAAAUAAUUAUAUUUAUAUUAAAUAUAGUGUCAAUUGUUUUAAUAAAAUUUAUUUAUAUAUUUAAAAAUAAUGUGAUAAAUUUUAAACUUAAAUUAAACUUUUAUAUAUAUAUAUAUAUAUAUAUAUAUAUAUAUGUGUGUGAGAGAGAGAGGUAUUAUAUACCACUUAUAUAUAAUAUAUAAAAAAAUUAUUAAUUAAUAUAAUAAUUUAUAUUACUUUUUUAUUUUUCUAAAUAGGUAUUUAUAAUUUAUUUAUUUUAAAUAAAUAUAAUUUAUUAUAUUUUAUUUUAAUUAAUUAAUUAUAUUUAUAUUAAAUAUAGUGCCUAUUGUUUUAAUAAAAUUUAAAAUAUAUUUUUAUAUCAAAUUAAAAAUAUCAAUUAUUUAAUUUCGUAUAUUAUUAUUUUUAAAAUAAUAAAAUAAGUAUAUUUAAAAUCAAAGUAAUAUAAUAUUUUUAUUAAAAAAAUUAAAAUUAUAUAUAAAUAUAUAUAAAGUUAAAACCGCAGUUGGUGACUACGGUUUUGACCAUUUUUAAAAAAAAAAAUCAAAGUCGUAGUCACUAACUACGACUUUAAACUUAAAGUUAAAACCGUGGUUGGUAACUACGGUUUCUAACCACUUAAAAAAAUAAAACCGUAGUCACCAACUACAGUUUUAUGACAUGGCAGUUUAUGUAGCACAGACGCAUUAGAUCGGUCAUUAUUUUCAAAGCAAUUUUAUUUUUUGGAAUUUUUUUUUAAAACACACUAUUUUGGGUCAAAGCUCAAUGGCCAUCAAACGGGGAAUCACGUGAUGAGAAAUUGAAGAGAAGAAUUAAAAACAAAAAAUAAAUAAAAAGAAGAAAAGGAAAGGUCAAUACCCCUCAAUCAGUUUCAAGAAAAGGGCAUGUGUUAUGAGCAAUGCACUGAAACGCGAACCAUUUCAGCCCUCCAAAGGACAACACAAGUUAAUAGCCCGUGUGGUCCCAACCUUCUGGAAAUACGAUUCCUCCCACCAAAUCUUGGUAAUCAAAAUAAAAUGGGUUAUCAUCUUCAACUGCUUUGCAUGCCUAAUGAACAUUGUUUUCGAUUACCAGUAUAGUUAGUUCUCUCAUUAACAUUUCUUCAGGAUCAAGGAUAUUGUUUUCAUUGACUUGCUCCUAUUUUGCAUUUGUUGAUGGAGAUACACAACGCACACACAUUAAUCCUAAUCUUAAAAAAUGGUAUUAAAUCUGUUCAAGGAAGCUAAGCAGGAAGAGCAUAAAACCUUGCAUUCACAGCAUUGUCGAUUUGUGAUUUAGCCCGGAUGCUUCUGAAAGCAUUAUGGAUAGGUUCGAAGCCCUCAGAAAUUAGACUAAUGCCAUGUUUACGUCAUCAUUACUAGCUUUCACACCAAAAUUCCAAAAAGAUAAACGCUAUGGUAUUAGUUUAAUGUUUAUCUCAUUGCCACCACACUAGUCAUCUAGAAGGUUUUACUGCUUUGAAUGGCUGCACAGGGUUUACACAAUAGAAGUAAAAAAAUGGGGCCUCUUCGCUGAAGCAUAAUUGGACUCUUGUGAGUCUAACCAUUAAUCUGGAACUGGAAAGCUGCCCUCUUUUAUUUAACUCCUAUAAUGAAGAUAAUGAUCCGAGACAUCAAUGUUUUCAACGAAAACUGGAUCGCUACACUUGGAUGUCCAGCAAAUUUUCAAUUUAAAUAAUGUACAAGACAAUCAAGGAGGUGAAAAAAAUUGAUGAAGCGAAUCAACAGUUUCUGAUACCAAUUUCAGGCACAUACGGCAUGUGCAAAUAUCUAGAUAUUUUAAUCCCAAAUAAAAUAAUGGUUCCUUUUUUCGUUUUCUUUUGUUUGACGUAUGCAUCAGGAACGGAACAUAUCUUAUAUUAUUUUGAUUCCAAAUUUCAAAUGAAGACGAGAUUCCAUAACUGAAUUGUCAACACGACCUUUGGGACUGAUGAACCUUAUUCAAACAAUGAUGAAAGGCAAAUUUUUGUAUUGAUAUAAUACAACUAGCCAACUGUAUGGGUGUAAGGAUCAAGGAAGACUAGGAAAUUUCGAAGGAUGAGACUACAACCCCAUCAGAAUGCCUUCUGGACCCACACUAUUUUAGUUCGUGGCAGUCAAAUCGCAAUAUAAUAGACGUAGGGAAGGACCCAAUGUUAUCACUAUAAUUGACUCUUAUUUCGUCGUCAUGCACCGCCUCAAAAAACCCGAAUUCCUCUUGGCACUGCGACUUCAAGGGAGAAGGAGAAGGAGUAGGAGAGGGGAGAGGGGAGAGGGGAGAGGGAGGGAGAGCUACCAACCGAACAGUGGAGAUGGAAGCUCAGCUGAGCAGCAACAUGAGGAAGGCUCUGCUGGUUCUGAAUUGUGUCAUUCUCUCAAUUGGAAACUGCGGUGGUCCCAUGGUGAUGCGCCUGUAUUUCGUCCGUGGCGGCGAGAGAAUAUGGUUUUCCAGUUGGUUGGAAACGGCUGGGUGGCCCUUGAUCCUAGUCCCUCUCAUCAUCACUUACAUCCACCGCCGAACCAAGCAAGGCUCCCAUGCCAAGCUCUUCUUCAUGAAACCUCCUCUGUUCGUGGCCUCCGCUGUUAUCGGUGUCCUCACCGGCUUCGAUGACUACCUCUACGCCUAUGGCGUAGCAAAACUGCCCGUUUCAACAUCUGCUCUCAUUAUCGCAAGCCAGCUCGCUUUCACAGCAGCCUUCGCGUUCCUCUUGGUGAAACAAAAGUUCACCUCAUACUCCGUAAAUGCCAUAUUUCUGUUGAGUAUCGGUGCCGGUGUCUUGGCUUUACACACUAGCUCCGACCGCCCUGCUAAUGAGUCCAACAAAGAAUAUUACCUCGGGUUUGUCAUGACACUUGCAGCUGCAGCGCUCUAUGGUUUCAUUCUCCCCUUGGUUGAAUUAACCUACAAGAAAGCAAAGCAGGCAAUAACCUACUCACUGGUCAUGGAGAUUCAAAUGGUGAUGUGCUUCUUCGCCACCGUCUUUUGCACAGUGGGGAUGCUGGUUAAUAAUGACUUUCAGGUGCAUUUCUCUUUUCUCUCCACUCAAUUACCCUAACAUAUUGAACCAGAUAGAAGAUUGAUAAUUUAUGUUUGCUUCUUCCUCAUAUAAUUUUGUAG
This 31050-nucleotide long non-coding RNA is filed under the name Vitis vinifera (wine grape). Its description in RNAcentral is "long non-coding RNA (VVIN_LNC005948)". The record is from RNAcentral. Lineage: Eukaryota; Viridiplantae; Streptophyta; Magnoliopsida; Vitales; Vitaceae.